Long non-coding RNA from Pangasianodon hypophthalmus (striped catfish), 487 nucleotides. RefSeq lists it as uncharacterized. The transcript has 3 exons. NCBI's taxonomy places the organism in Eukaryota, Metazoa, Chordata, Actinopteri, Siluriformes, Pangasiidae. The record is from RefSeq and is a predicted model, not a curated record.
GAGCAUCUGACUCUCAUGCUACUGACCUGAGUUCCAGUCCUGGGCUCGAUGUUGGUGAACUUUCCUGUAAGGAGAAACGUGUUUAUGUAACAUUUGGUGAAGGAGUCUCCAGUGUCGGUGCUUUGUAGCAGUCAGAGCUGUUCUGUUCAUUGUCUGUGAUGGAGGAGAUGACAUGGACCAGGAGGUUACAGUGAGGUCAAUACAGAUGGACUGGAGCUUCAGGAGGCCGUCACACUCACCAUCUCUCACAGGGAGCUGGAACCAUAACGACCAAAACGGACCAAUCAGCAGGAAGAGUUUGGGCCAUUAACCAAUCAGAAAUCUCUGAUCCGGACAGGAGGCUGUAUCAUUAAACACAGGUGCACUGUUCACUCCUACAGCUGUCACAUUCGAUCAUUAGAAACCUAAAUUAAUCCAGUGUCUCCAUGAAAUGAAGAACAAGAGCAAAUAAAAGUGAAUAUUAGAUAAUAAUAAUAAUAAUAAUAAU